This 83-nucleotide transfer RNA is filed under the name Melampsora larici-populina 98AG31. Its description in RNAcentral is "tRNA-Asn for anticodon GUU". It matches the Rfam family "tRNA". From Rfam's summary of the family: Transfer RNA (tRNA) molecules are approximately 80 nucleotides in length. The record is from Rfam by way of RNAcentral. Lineage: Eukaryota; Fungi; Basidiomycota; Pucciniomycetes; Pucciniales; Melampsoraceae.
GUCUCCGUGGCGCAAUUGGUUAGCGCGUCUGACUGUUAUGCAGUGCAAUCAGGAGGUUGGCAGUUCAAGCCUGCCCGGGGACG